RNAcentral lists this ribosomal RNA (460 nucleotides) under uncultured bacterium. Its description in RNAcentral is "partial 16S ribosomal RNA". It matches the Rfam family "Bacterial small subunit ribosomal RNA", at positions 338 to 795 of the family's 1533-position model. The record is from RNAcentral.
CCUACGGGGGGCAGCAGUGAGGAAUAUUGGUCAAUGGACGAGAGUCUGAACCAGCCAAGUCGCGUGAAGGAUGACUGCCCUAUGGGUUGUAAACUUCUUUUAUAUGGGAAUAAAAUGUUCCACGUGUGGGAUUUUGUAUGUACCAUAUGAAUAAGGAUCGGCUAACUCCGUGCCAGCAGCCGCGGUAAUACGGAGGAUCCGAGCGUUAUCCGGAUUUAUUGGGUUUAAAGGGUGCGUAGGUGGAUUGUUAAGUCAGUUGUGAAAGUUUGCGGCUCAACCGUAAAAUUGCAGUUGAAACUGGCAGUCUUGAGUACAGUAGAGGUGGGCGGAAUUCGUGGUGUAGCGGUGAAAUGCUUAGAUAUCACGAAGAACUCCGAUUGCGAAGGCAGUUCACUGGACUGCAACUGACACUGAGGCUCGAAAGUGUGGGUAUCAAACAGGAUUAGAUACCCCAGUAGUC